Molecule: ribosomal RNA, 233 nt
Filed under: uncultured bacterium
Lineage: Bacteria
Description: partial 16S ribosomal RNA
Rfam family: Bacterial small subunit ribosomal RNA
Source: RNAcentral
GAUCCUGGCUCAGGACGAACGCUGGCGGCGUGCUUAACACAUGCAAGUCGAACGAAGAGCGAUGGAAGCUUGCUUCUAUCAAUCUUAGUGGCGAACGGGUGAGUAACGCGUAAUCAACCUGCCCUUCAGAGGGGGGACAACAGUUGGAAACGACUGCUAAUACCGCAUACGAUCUGACCUCGGCAUCGAGGAUAGAUGAAAGGUGGCCUCUACAUGUAAGCUAUCACUGAAGG